UACGUAGGGUGCAAGCGUUGUCCGGAAUUAUUGGGCGUAAAGAGCUCGUAGGCGGUUUGUCGCGUCUGCUGUGAAAACUCGAGGCUCAACCUCGAGAGGUCGGUGGAAACCGUGUGGCUAGAGUCCGGAAGAGGAGAGUGGAAUUCCCGGUGUAGCGGUGAAAUGCGCAGAUAUCGGGAAGAACACCCGUGGCGAAGGCGGCUCUCUGGGACGGUACUGACGCUGAGACGCGAAAGCGUGGGGAGCGAACAGG
RNAcentral lists this ribosomal RNA (253 nucleotides) under uncultured bacterium. RNAcentral describes it as "partial 16S ribosomal RNA". It matches the Rfam family "Bacterial small subunit ribosomal RNA", at positions 524 to 776 of the family's 1533-position model. The record is from RNAcentral.